RNAcentral lists this ribosomal RNA (421 nucleotides) under uncultured bacterium. RNAcentral's name for it is "bacterial SSU rRNA". It matches the Rfam family "Bacterial small subunit ribosomal RNA", at positions 355 to 774 of the family's 1533-position model. The record is from RNAcentral.
UAAGGAAUAUUGGACAAUGGAGGCAACUCUGAUCCAGCCAUGCCGCGUGAAGGAAUAAGGCCCUAUGGGUUGUAAACUUCUUUUAUCUGGGACGAAAACGGGAUUUUUAUCUCAAUUGACGGUACCAGAGGAAUAAGCACCGGCUAACUCCGUGCCAGCAGCCGCGGUAAUACGGAGGGUGCGAGCGUUAUCCGGAUUUACUGGGUUUAAAGGGUGCGUAGGUGGGCUUAUAAGUCAGUGGUGAAAUCUCCGAGCUUAACUUGGAAACUGCCGUUGAUACUAUAGGUCUUGAAUUAUCUGGAGGUAAGCGGAAUAUGUCAUGUAGCGGUGAAAUGCUUAGAUAUGACAUAGAACACCAAUUGCGAAGGCAGCUUACUACAUAUAAAUUGACGCUGAGGCACGAAAGCGUGGGGAUCAAACA